This 341-nucleotide ribosomal RNA is filed under the name uncultured soil bacterium. Its description in RNAcentral is "bacterial SSU rRNA". It matches the Rfam family "Bacterial small subunit ribosomal RNA", at positions 1044 to 1398 of the family's 1533-position model. The record is from RNAcentral.
UAUGGCUGUCGUCAGCUCGUGUCGUGAGAUGUUGGGUUAAGUCCCGAAACGAGCGCAACCCCUAUCCCAUGUUACAAGUGUCUUGGGAAACUGCCUCGGUAAAACGGGGAGGAAGGUGGGGAUGACGUCUGGUCCGCAUAGCCCUUAUGUCCUGGGCGACACACGCGCUACAAUGGUCGGUACAAUAGGCAGCCAAGCCGUAAGGCGGAGCUAAUCCUAAAAGCCGAUCUCAGUUCGGAUCGAGGUCUGAAACUCGACCUCGUGAAGUUGGAUUCGCUAGUAAUCGUGGAUCAGCCAUGCCACGGUGAAUACGUUCUCGGGUCUUGUACACACCGCCCGUA